Molecule: ribosomal RNA, 515 nt
Filed under: uncultured bacterium
Lineage: Bacteria
Description: partial 16S ribosomal RNA
Rfam family: Bacterial small subunit ribosomal RNA
Source: RNAcentral
GAUGAACGCUGGGGGCGUGCCUAAUACAUGCAAGUCGAGCGAAUGGAUUAAGAGCUUGCUCUUAUGAAGUUAGCGGCGGACGGGUGAGUAACACGUGGGUAACCUGCCCAUAAGACUGGGAUAACUCCGGGAAACCGGGGCUAAUACCGGAUAACAUUUUGAACCGCAUGGUUCGAAAUUGAAAGGCGGCUUCGGCUGUCACUUAUGGAUGGACCCGCGUCGCAUUAGCUAGUUGGUGAGGUAACGGCUCACCAAGGCAACGAUGCGUAGCCGACCUGAGAGGGUGGUCGGCCAAACAGGGACUGAGACACGGCCCAGACUCCUACGGGAGGCAGCAGUAGGGAAUCUUCCGCAAUGGACGAAAGUCUGACGGAGCAACGCCGCGUGAGUGAUGAAGGCUUUCGGGUCGUAAAACUCUGUUGUUAGGGAAGAACAAGUGCUAGUUGAAUAAGCUGGCACCUUGACGGUACCUAACCAGAAAGCCACGGCUAACUACGUGCCAGCAGCCGCAGUAA